UACGUAGGGGCUAGCGUUGUCCGGAUUUACUGGGCGUAAAGGGAGCGUAGGCGGACUUUUAAGUGAGAUGUGAAAUACCCGGGCUCAACUUGGGUGCUGCAUUUCAAACUGGAAGUCUAGAGUGCAGGAGAGGAGAAUGGAAUUCCUAGUGUAGCGGUGAAAUGCGUAGAGAUUAGGAAGAACACCAGUGGCGAAGGCGAUUCUCUGGACUGUAACUGACGCUGAGGCUCGAAAGCGUGGGGAGCAAACAGGAUUAGAUACCCCCGUAGU
This 270-nucleotide ribosomal RNA is filed under the name uncultured prokaryote. RNAcentral describes it as "partial 16S ribosomal RNA". It matches the Rfam family "Bacterial small subunit ribosomal RNA", at positions 524 to 794 of the family's 1533-position model. The record is from RNAcentral.